CUUGGUCUAGUUACUUCCACAGCAGCAGGAGGAACAUGUGUGUGACUCAGGAUAACUGGGGAAGCCUUGGCUAGGCUUUCCUCAUGUCAACCUACCACUCAAAGGGAGAAAACCUCCUGAUCAGAGGAAAUCCAUAAUUUUUGAAUGCUGGCCGAGGUCUGUGACCUCUGACUGAAUGGUUUCCAAGCUCCGAAUUCCUAGUUAGCAUUUUGGUGUGGAUACAGAAGACGAGAUUAACACAGAUCAAGUAACAUGGAAAUAAAAAAGGAGACAAUGCUGGAUGAUACAGGGGCAGCCAACAAGAGGAGAAAACCCAAGCAUUGGCAAAUGCCUCAUUAUCCAAAGAACACUGAGGUGUGGAGCAAAACUGUGUUGAAUGAACUGUAGAUGGAAAUUCUCUCCUUCCCACCGAGGAGCCGCUGCAGGUUGCAGACUCCCAGAAUGCCACACUGAGAAGAGGAGGGCUAAAAUUCUAGAGCAGAAUCCCUGGGGCAGCCCCUGCUGAAGAAGGGUGCAUCUGUUGAGAAUCUCAUCACCGCCCCCACCCCGCCCAGCCUUCAAUUUAGAGGAAUUUCUAGUUCACGCAGAAUGAAGACAAGAUCACAUAAGUGAGGACGACGCCCCAUUUACAAGUGUGAUUUGGAAGACUGAAGUGGAAACCUUGGGAAGGUGGGCCUCAGAGUAUGUCAGCUGGGGUCAGACGGGAACAGGAGUCUGGCUCAACACACAUUUAUUGCACUCCUGUUUCAUGCCAAGAAAUGUACCAAAAUCUGGGACUGUGUAACACAGCAAAGGAAAAGACUCAUCUCCAGGAAGCCCCCUUGUCUAGGAAGAGAAAUUGAAUAUCAGCAUAAGGUGGUGAAAAGCUGUGAAGGAGAUGAGUGCCAGGAGUCCAUGGAGGAAGGAUUCUAGCCUGGACAGGUGAGGAAUGGCUUUCUGGAAGAAGCAGAUGCCCCAGCUGAACUUUAAAAUGCCCAUGUGAAAUGAACUGUCUGUAUCUUCAAUCAGCAAAUGGAGUAGGUGGCCACUGUUUAAUUCUGGAAUGGGGAAGUGUAAAGGUGUGGUGUGUGUGUUUACCCCUACUUAGGGAUUCAAAACAGACAGUAAAGAACAAAAGUCUAGCCCUUUGAGCAUUCUCCAUGGGACAUUUGAGGUCUAGCUGGCCCCAGAGAAAGAGAGACAGAAGCAAGGUCAUAUCCAUUUGAGAAAAUCAAAGUGUCUGCUCCAAUUGAGUCUGGUGUCCUUAUUCCUGGAAUAGCCAUCCCUACUGCUCUGGUGCUGAUUUACCUCCGGCAGUUCAGUGCUUCCUGGAAGCAGAUUUUAAUGGGGGAUGGGAAUAAGAAAUUCAGGGUACUGGAAACAUAAAAGGAAAAAGGAGGCCCUAAGAAGAAUCCCGAAGAAGAGAAGCUGGAGGCUGAGGGUUCAUUACUUUGUUGAGGGUGUUUCUUAUGACACCAAAUAAGACCCAUGGUGCCUGAGAUACUAAUGAGAGGCAAUUGCCGUCCUAGUGUGAGGUGGGGCCUCUGGCCCACUUUUCUUGACAAUCUAAACAUCCAUUCACAAUGACCCAACUACACUUCUUCACUCUUUCCUUUGGUCUUCAAUGUGCCUAUGCCUAUCCUCCCCAGAACAUAUAUAGUUUUGGCUAAAAUUGCUAUGCAGAAAUUUUUGGAAAUUCACCCUGGUAGACAGAGCAUGACAGCAGGCAUUAAAAAAAAAAAAAGUUCAGUUAAAAACAAGAAAAUGGUUUGAGAAUCAAGCUCUUACUGAGAAGGAAUCUUAGCAUUUUGGAGCUGGAAGUGACCCUGAAGUCAUCUGGUUCAAGACCUUUAUUUUACAAAUGAGAAAACUGGGACCCAGACAAGCAAAGUGAGUUGUUAAGUUCCUCCUGUGUGUGGUCCAUGGCUGAACUAGAACCAUACCCAUAGAUUUUCUUCCCUUCAGCCCAGGACUCUUCGCAAUGGGUUCUCACCAAGCUUAAGUAAAGAUUGAUCUGUAAAAUCAAUUUAUUUCAACUUUACUUUUGAAAAUAGUCCAAAGUAUUAAUAUAUUAGUUUAUUUUUUUGGUGGUAUGCCAAACAUUAUAAAACUGCUAGUUUUAGAUGUAGACAGUGAGUAAAGAUUGAGCUAAAUCUUUAUAGAUUGUGGCCUUUUGGGGCAUUUGGUAAAAGAUAAUCCUAUUUCUGUAAAACAAAUACUGAAAAGAGAAAAAAAAAAGCACAUAUGUAUGUGUAUGUCCAUCUAAGAUUGUUUAAGCCUGGAAAAACAUGGAAGGAUAUAUAUGAAGUUGUUAUCAUGGGUUUGCCUGACAGUGCUGAUGCGGGUGGAAGAGGAGGGAUGGGAGAAGCUGUGCAAAUGUAUGAGAAAGGGACUAAAAAGGGAUGUCUAUUAUGAUAUUUAUAUAAAUUUAUUUCUAGGUGUGGCUGUAUAUUGAAAAAAUGAGUAAAAUACUUUAAAAAGUGAUCUGGAAAAUGAGAAAAGAAAAAUGAGUGUAAUUCUCAUGUGCGUUUAAAAUUAU
This 2518-nucleotide long non-coding RNA is filed under the name Homo sapiens (human). RNAcentral's name for it is "non-protein coding LINC01206:32". The record is from RNAcentral. Lineage: Eukaryota; Metazoa; Chordata; Mammalia; Primates; Hominidae.